RNAcentral lists this unclassified non-coding RNA (784 nucleotides) under Acromyrmex echinatior (Panamanian leafcutter ant). Its description in RNAcentral is "uncharacterized LOC105148151, transcript variant X1". Lineage: Eukaryota; Metazoa; Arthropoda; Insecta; Hymenoptera; Formicidae. The record is from RNAcentral.
AGCGGUUUUUCCAAGUUUCACGUGAAAUUUCACAACAAUUCGUUGCUCUAUUGUUACACUUAUCAUUUUUCCGGCGAAACAAAAAAACAACUCUAAUGCGAAAGAAGGCUAUGGCUAUAUGAAUUUGUUUACAGAAGCGAGAGGUACUGCAUUCGAAAGAGAAGGCUUCACGCUAAACAGCUGUCGGUCGCUGGCGUUUGGCGCAUGCGUAACUUCUUCUGUAGCAGUAUGUAACAAGCCUGAUUAUACCAGAAGAGCUUCCAACAAUCCUAAGUUUGAUAUAUUCCAAUAUAUCGCCUAUCAAAAAAGAACCGAUUCCAGAUUUGGUGUGGGUUUUCGAUUAGGUGAACACGCGGAUUUUCAAAUUCUUAUUGAACUAGGACCACAGACUGAGACAGAUCCAAUAGGUGUAUCCAAUGAUGCCAAAAGGCGACGAGAUGCGAUGAUAAAUGCUGCGAUGAAGGGAGAGCUAGGACCAUUAGCACAAGCGGUGGCUAAAUAUCAAAUAAACCGUGAAAUCCAAAAAGAAAUGGAUGAACUCAAAAUAAUAGAAGAGAAGCUUAAAAAGAUUAAAACGGAGAAUACAAAGGCUCAAGAUACAAAAAUGUGAUUGGUUUAGAAGCAGCCGCCAUUUUGGAUUACUGCGCAUCCUCGGCAACAAAAUACCUUAUAUUCUUAGGAUGUGAUUACAUGUAACGUGGUAUACGAAAUUUAAAAAAGAAGAAACUCCACAUAUGGUGACGUAUACAUCGAUGAAGAAACUGCAGCAACAUGUAUUGUAGCG